GUUCAGGCUUUGAUAAAGAACAGUAAUCAUGUUGAAGGAAUGUAGAGAGUGUGUUCACCGGCUGAAAGACACACUUCCCGCUCACAGGAUGAACCUACUUUUGAGCCGCCAUGCAAACAUGGCCGUGCCUUCGCGAUAAGAAGGAACAAGUUGUGUUCCAUGUGGGGCAAAACAAGGUGGUACCGCGGAAACAUGCGUUUUCGUCCUUUCA
RNAcentral lists this non-coding RNA (211 nucleotides) under Paenisporosarcina sp. RNAcentral's name for it is "T-box sequence". It matches the Rfam family "T-box leader". From Rfam's summary of the family: Uncharged tRNA acts as the effector for transcription antitermination of genes in the T-box leader family. T-boxes are found upstream of many aminoacyl-tRNA synthetase genes and some amino acid biosynthetic genes usually in Gram-positive bacteria. The anticodon of a specific tRNA base pairs to a specifier sequence within the T-box motif, and the NCCA acceptor tail of the tRNA base pairs to a conserved bulge in the T-box antiterminator hairpin. The record is from RNAcentral. Lineage: Bacteria; Bacillati; Bacillota; Bacilli; Caryophanales; Caryophanaceae.